Molecule: long non-coding RNA, 701 nt
Organism: Pecten maximus
Lineage: Eukaryota; Metazoa; Mollusca; Bivalvia; Pectinida; Pectinidae
Exons: 2
Source: RefSeq, a predicted model, not a curated record
ACAUAGUCAAUACUCUAGGUACUGUAUGAAGGGAGAAUAUGUGUAUGACAUACUCGUACCGCUCGUACAUUGGCUACAAGCGCCUUUCUCACCGUGAUUUGUAAACACUAUCCAUAGAAACGCCUAGUGAUGGCUGAGAAAGGUUCGAAGAAAUCUCCAACCAGGAUGGAUGCCACGGAGGAACUCUUACUGACCACAGGAGGACGUCUUGGUCGCCUUGUCAAUCAUGCUAAACGUGGUGUUGCAAACGCAACGACAAGACUGGUCGAUUAUAAUGGAUAGCCACGUCUUUGCCUUUUCAGCCCCAGUUUUGUUUUACCCAAACCAUGUUGACGUUAUAAGACAUAUUGAUGUGACCAACUUUCACAGCUUUUGACAUUGUUUUCAACAAUUUUUCUUUAAAAAAAACUGGUUUCGUUUGAAUUCUAAAGAUAAAACUAAACUGACCAUGAAACGAGUUCACUGAUGUACCGAAUACCUACUCAAAAUGGAGUAUUCAUUUUACAUCAGAUUUUAUUCCUUUCUUUUAAAACAUAAAUUGGAUAUAUUACAAAGAGAAGAGCUAAGAAAUGACUAGGGUAUCGAUGACUUCCGGGGAGGAAAAUACUAAUUGGUUAUAUAACCAACAGUAUUCCGGCCUUGAAAUGGUUUGUUAAAUUAAGCUUGGUUAUUGCGACUAACCCAUUAAAAGUGACACAAUA